This 440-nucleotide ribosomal RNA is filed under the name uncultured bacterium. Its description in RNAcentral is "partial 16S ribosomal RNA". It matches the Rfam family "Bacterial small subunit ribosomal RNA", at positions 338 to 795 of the family's 1533-position model. The record is from RNAcentral.
CCUACGGGUGGCAGCAGUGGGGAAUAUUGCACAAUGGGGGAAACCCUGAUGCAGCGAAGCCGCGUGAGCGAUGAAGUUUUUCGGUAUGUAAAGCUCUAUCAGCAGGGAAGCAAAUGACGGUACCUGACUAAGAAGCCCGGGCUACCUACGUGCAAGCAGCCGCGGUAAUACGGAGGUGGCAAGCGUUGUCCGGAUUUACUGGGUGUAAAGGGCGUGCAGCCGGAGAGACAAGUCAGAUGGGAAAUCCACGGGCUCAACCCGUGAACUGCAUUUGAAACUGUUUCCCUUGAGUGUCGGAGAGGUAAUCGGAAUGCCUGGUGUAGCGGUGAAAUGCGUAGAUAUAAGGAAGAACACCAGUUGCGAAGGCGGAUUACUGGACGAUAACUGACGGUGAGGCGCGAAAGCGUGGGGAGCAAACAGGAUUAGAUACCCGGGUAGUC